RNAcentral lists this ribosomal RNA (372 nucleotides) under uncultured organism. RNAcentral's name for it is "bacterial SSU rRNA". It matches the Rfam family "Bacterial small subunit ribosomal RNA", at positions 526 to 896 of the family's 1533-position model. The record is from RNAcentral.
CAGAGGGUGCGAGCGUUAAUCGGAAUUACUGGGCGUAAAGCGUGCGUAGACGGUUAUUUAAGUCGGAUGUGAAAGCCCCGGGCUCAACCUGGGAAUUGCAUUCGAGACUGAAUAGCUAGGGUACGGUAGAGGGAAGCGGAAUUUCCGGUGUAGCGGUGAAAUGCGUAGAUAUCGGAAGGAACAUCAGUGGCGAAAGCGGCUUCCUGGACCAGUACCGACGUUCAGGCACGAAAGCGUGGGGAGCAAACAGGAUUAGAUACCCUGGUAGUCCACGCCAUAAACGAUGAGGACUAGACGUUGGAGGGUUAAGCCUUUCAGUGUCGUAGCUAACGCGCUAAGUCCUCCGCCUGGGGACUACGGCCGCAAAGGUUG